Triticum dicoccoides is the source of this 769-nucleotide long non-coding RNA. RefSeq lists it as uncharacterized. The record is from RefSeq and is a predicted model, not a curated record. The transcript has 2 exons. Lineage: Eukaryota; Viridiplantae; Streptophyta; Magnoliopsida; Poales; Poaceae.
CACCUCUCCCGUCCUCCCUUUCCCGGCUCACGCGCUGCGAUCCCCUACCCGUCGCCUACCUCACUCGCCGCGUCAUCCGCAACGUGCCUACCGCUCUCACCUCCCCGCCGCCUGCCCCAUUCUCCGCCCGGCUGUUCGCCCCACAUGUCGCCCGCCCUCUUCUUCCUUCUCCUCAACGCAAUCCCUCGCUCUCUCCCCUGCCUCACAAUGACGACGGUGGCCCAUCUACCUCGAGAUCGACAAUGAUGGUGGUUGGGGUGGCUAGACAGAGAACCCUAGCCGCAAUGGUGACGGUGUGGCACCUUCCCCCAAAGACCUCCAUGGAUCUGCGUCGCCUCCCUCCUCCAAAUCCAAGGACAACCGAGUAGCAGGGGACUUCCAUGGACGAGGACGACAACCGUAACAUGUGGGACCCCAUGACCGAGCCCCGACAAGCUCGUAGACGACAUCAGGCUGACCUCUACCUCGAAGGCGACCUCAAGAUAUAACACGUGUACGAGGGUGACCUCUGCAAAAGUUUGUUUAGCUAAAUACGUAUUACUGAAAACAUCCAGGCACCAUUCAGUACCCAAGUACUGAAUAUUGCUAAACGUUGAUGAAUUUUAGCUGUUUGGUGAGUAGCUAUGCAGAAGAUUAUGUUUCAGAAGUAUUAUUAUUGAAGACGUAGAAUAUCACUACAGCUCCUGCAGAAGAACGAGAUCAUUAACAUGGUUAAAGUUCUGAUGUUCUGGUUGUAGUUUUAUGAUACUAGAAUCCUUCGUUUGCUCCA